Long non-coding RNA from Myotis myotis, 1641 nucleotides. RefSeq lists it as uncharacterized. The record is from RefSeq and is a predicted model, not a curated record. Lineage: Eukaryota; Metazoa; Chordata; Mammalia; Chiroptera; Vespertilionidae. The transcript has 2 exons.
CCCAGCCUCAGUGCUUAGAGGAUGUUUUUCUUUAUCCUUUAAUUUCAGCCACAUCAGAGCUCAAGACUGGCUCCAACUCAUUGUGAUAUGCUGUUUCCCCUGCCUGUACUGGAGCCUGUUUAACCAAAAGAGGGGCAGACUCUCAGGGUUAAUGUAAAAACAGCUCACCCUGGUCAGAGAAAGUGCUCUGUUGUCAGUGCCCAUUGCCCUGCUGAUGUAACUUUCCUUCCCUGGCACCCCUCUGCAUUUCCAGUGUGGGGCCCGGUACAGGUGGAGUGUACCCCUGACUCCUGCCAUCGGUGUUGGGCUUGGCCCUGUUGCUGGUUAAGACCAAGAAAAUGUGGGAAGAAAUGACAGUGUGCAGAUUCCAAGCUGAAGCAUCGUGUGUUUCUCUCCCCCAUGGGACUCUUCUGUUAGAUGAGCACGCCCUGGGUAGCUGCAGCCCCGUUAGCCUGGACCCAGAAGUGGCCCAGGGCCCUCCCAGCUGACCUGUGGCCUAGGAGUGAGGGAGAAUGGCAUGUUGUUGCACCCAUUGAACUUCGGGGCUGCUUGUUAGACAGCGACAGCUGACGGGUGGAAGCAGAAGAGAGAUCCACGAGGGAAAGUCAAUAAGCAUGUCCUUGGGUGACGAUUGAAAAAAGAGGAAAAAGAAAGCUGUCCCAGCCUCAGGGAUUGAGAACAGGAGACUUCAGCAAUCAAACCUUCGCAAAAGACUGCAGUGGGGCUCCUGGAAGCUUGAGGACCAGGCCACCUGAUUUCAUCUAGAGGCACCGUAUCAAGGGACACAUGAGCUGACUGGCAUUCCUGCUGACAGCCAGGGCCGUCCAUCAGCAUGCUUUCAUUACUUCAGAGGGUCUGGUCUUGAGACGCUAAUUUACCGAAUGAACUCUUCUCAAUCCCCGCUGUGUCCCCUGCUUCGUGACCAGCUGGCCUGAUCUGUGGCACUGUUGUGACUUAGGCCUUGGUCCCUAUCGACUGCUGCUCUCAAGCCCCCCUUGCUCCCAAACUCUAGCCCCGUGCAGCCCUACACCCACCAUGGCAAAAGAGCAGCAAGACCCUUCCAUCCCAGGGAGGGACCCUCCCCUCCCCACAUGGCACCCCAAAAGGUAUCCAUGUCCCGAUUCCUGGAACCUGUGAACCUGAAACCUGGAAGCUGAAGCUCACAUGGCAAAACAGGACUUUGCAGAUGUGAUUAAGGAUCUUGAGAUGGGGAGAUGGUCCUGGAUGAUCUGGGAGGACCUUAAAUUCAGUCACCCGUAUCUUUAUGAGAAGGGGCGGUACGAAGAUGGAGGCAGAGGUUGGAGCUGUGGCCACAGCCAGGACACCAGGCGUCCCAGAAGCUGAAGAGGCAGAAAGGACCCUCCCACAGAGCGUGCGGCCCUGGAACACCUGGAUUUCAGUUCAGCGAGAUGGAUUUUGGACUCUGUCCUCUAAAACUGUUAGAGAAUAAGUUUUAUUUAUAAGCCACCAAGUUUGUGACUACAAAUGGGAAAGUCAAGGAUUCUAGGAACGACUGGACCCAAGGCCUGUGGUGAACCCUCACAGAUACUGCCUACCAGUGUCUUUGUGACUCGAGACACCUGCGCCUGGAACACGGGCUCUCUUCCUCAAGGUGCACUACUGCCUCGCUGGCAACCGAGG